This 427-nucleotide ribosomal RNA is filed under the name uncultured bacterium. RNAcentral's name for it is "bacterial SSU rRNA". It matches the Rfam family "Bacterial small subunit ribosomal RNA", at positions 355 to 774 of the family's 1533-position model. The record is from RNAcentral.
UGGGGAAUUUUGGACAAUGGGCGCAAGCCUGAUCCAGCCAUGCCGCGUGCAGGAUGAAGGCCCUCGGGUUGUAAACUGCUUUUGUACGGAACGAAAAGCCUCUUUCUAAUAAAGAGGGGUGAUGACGGUACCGUAAGAAUAAGCACCGGCUAACUACGUGCCAGCAGCCGCGGUAAUACGUAGGGUGCGAGCGUUAAUCGGAAUUACUGGGCGUAAAGCGUGCGCAGGCGGUCUUGCAAGACAGUGGUGAAAUCCCCGGGCUCAACCUGGGAACUGCCAUUGUGACUGCAAGGCUGGAGUACGGCAGAGNGGGAUGGCAUUCCGCGUGUAGCAGUGAAAUGCGUAGAUAUGCGGAGGAACACCGAUGGCGAAGGCAGUCCCCUGGGCCUGUACUGACGCUCAUGCACGAAAGCGUGGGGAGCAAACA